ACUGUAAUUUAUUAAACUCACUGAAGCAACAAGGAAAUUGCAAAAGGGGAGAAGGAAAAGCUUUAAAGAUAACAGGAGGACUCCAGUUAUGCAAAAAACGAGACAAGACAAGACACACACACACACCACCACCACCAAGUUUGAUUUGCACCCUCUUCGGAGCCUUCAAGGUAAGAUGUCAUUCCAAAGACUGACAUGAGAACCAGAGGUAUCUACAGCACCUUUCUUUCUAUUAUUUUAACAUGGAAACCAAUCCAUAAUAAAGGAGUCAUCAUGUAGUUCAUUUCUUGAAUUUCUGUCAGUACUUCCAUGAGAGCAACUUCUCGAAGCAGCAACCCAAAGUUAAAUUGUGUCAGCAUUUCCAUUUUUGAGGCAUCACCAUAUGAGCUGCUAUUUUUUGAGCUGCUCCCAGCAAGACAACAAUAAUCAGAAUGGAGAAGAUGCAGCAAACAGAGCACAUUCCAUCCGCCUCAGGCAAACCUGAAUGAAGCCAAUGAUUUUAUUCAUAGACCCUGGAAUGGGGAGUGCCUGGGGCUGGGGCUUGAGCUCCUUGUCUGAAUGUUUAGGCAUCAAGGAUCAGGACUACUGUACAAAGGCUGUAGUUGGACCCCUGAGGAACUACCAGUCAGAAAUGCCCAGAUUUAUAACAUUUCUGUGUGUUCACUUUUGGGUUUUUUACAUAUUUUUCCGCUUGCCCAGAUACACACACACACACACACACGCACACGCACGUACACACACACGCACGCACGCACACACAUUUAAAAAUUUUUAUACGUUUCAUUCAUUACUGGAGAGGAGGAGAGCAGCAGAGGACUUUAAUACCGGCUCCACUGCCCCCAGGACACUGGCUGCGCAGGCCCAGAGUAGUAUUAUUAUUCAGAUAUAUAAUUGAUAUUUAUUAACUGAUUAUUGUUUUUGUUGCCGGGGAGAAUUGGGGAUUGUUGUUUAGAUUAUUAUGUUAUGUUACAUUAUGCUUUGAUUAUUAUUAUGUACUGUAUUUUUAUUAUUAUUAUGUAAUUUAUGUUGUGCUGUAACAGGCUGUACGUGUGUAGUUUUGUAUUUUUCCUGUUGCCUUCAUUUGUAAUUUGCCUUACUUGUAAUCUGCCUUGAUUCCGCAAGGAAAAGGCAGAAUAUAAAUAAAUCGUAUUAUUAUUUUGUUGUUGUCUUCACAGCAAUCACAUUGUUAACUGCUCUAGUUGGUAGUGAUAUUCUUCUUCCUCUUUGUAUUCUGUGUUGUAUUACUGUUUUUUAUAUAUAAAAAGUCCAUGUCAAUAUGAAAAAUUAAUAAUGACAUACCUGCCACUUUUGAGCCACUCUACCUUAAAACAUGGCCUAGGUCCAGUCUUCUUGAAGGAACGCCUCCUCCUAUACAAUCCUUCCCGCACACUCCGAUCCUCCGGGAAAAACCUCUUACAAUCUAGAAAGACCAGACUGGCGGUGACCUCCUAGAGGUCCUUUUCU
Molecule: long non-coding RNA, 1464 nt
Organism: Sceloporus undulatus (fence lizard)
Lineage: Eukaryota; Metazoa; Chordata; Lepidosauria; Squamata; Phrynosomatidae
Exons: 3
Source: RefSeq, a predicted model, not a curated record